Molecule: ribosomal RNA, 497 nt
Filed under: uncultured bacterium
Lineage: Bacteria
Description: partial 16S ribosomal RNA
Rfam family: Bacterial small subunit ribosomal RNA
Source: RNAcentral
GAUGAACGCUGGCGGCGUGCCUAAUACAUGCAAGUCGAGCGAACGGACGAGAAGCUUGCCUCUCUGACGUUAGCGGCGGACGGGUGAGUAACACGUGGAUAACUUACCUAUAAGACUGGGAUAACUUCGAGAAACCGGUGCUACUACCGGCUAAUAUUUUGAACCGCAUGGUUCAAAAGUGGAAGACGGUCUUGCUGUCACUUAUAGAUGGAUCCGCGCUUCAUUAGCUAGUUGGUAAGGUAACGGCUUACCAAGGCAACGAUGCGUAGCUGACCUGAGAGGAUGAACAGCCACACUGGAACUGAGACACGGCCCAGACUCCUACGGGAGGCAGCAGUGGGGAAUCUUCCACAAUGGGCGAAAGCCUGACGGAGCAACGCCGCGUGAGUGAAGAAGGUCUUCGGGUCGUAAAGCUCUGUUGUUAGGAAAGAACAUAUGUGUAAGUAUCUGUGCGGGGCAUGACGGUACCUAAACAGAAAGCCACGGCUAACUACGUG